CCACCGCUGAAAGUAAACAGAUGGGGCAACGUAUAUCUACGGUAAAACAGAAAUUGAGAAGUUAUCUUUUGAAAAUCACACCGAAUGCGAGUGUCGCGAAAGGAAGGACUUUUCCAAUAUGAGUGACCGACUGACGGAUCAUAGAACCGCAAGGCAUUUCCCGUCAUCCACGGCGCCGCAAAAUAUCGUCAGGCCUCCUACCCGCAAGCCAUGUCGUUGCCCCACGCAAUUUACGCCAAAAAUCACGAUUGACGGAGUAUGCGAGUGCAGUUGCAUCGAGCACGAUCAAGAUUGUUUGAAACUACAACGGGGCAAAGGCUACUUAUCACUAAGAGACAGAAUAUGCAUACAAAACGACCAGUGCACAUCGCCGAAUUGCACAUUCGGCGAGUUUAUCACGGCACAAGGCAGGUGCCCGAAGAAGAAGGACAUCUUCGAAGCAAACGCGAAUCAUCGCUCGAGCUUCAAUUAUCAUCAUCGGCGAAGCUAAAAAGCAAACAAAAAGCAAACGGAGCCGUUAUUAUGAUGAAAGUUGUGCGAGACGCUCGCCACGCGUGCGAACGGACGGUGCCAUUUAAUUCUUCUUUUUUACUCCUGCUUAUCGUUUUCAUUUUUCUGCGCGUGCCCCCAUCGCCUGGAGAAAUGGAGAAAAAGGAGAAUCGAGAGAAAGCUCUUGAGAACAAUGGACUUGGGCUCUUCUUAGUCCAAGUCGGGGACGCGUGUAAAUCGGUGAUGCAAGAUCGACGGCGAACGCGUGGUAUUUUUUACCGCUUAAAUUAUAUAAAAGAAGAAGAAGAAGAAGAAGAAGAAGAAGAAGAAGAA
Molecule: RNA transcript, 822 nt
Organism: Ceratosolen solmsi marchali
Lineage: Eukaryota; Metazoa; Arthropoda; Insecta; Hymenoptera; Agaonidae
Exons: 4
Source: RefSeq, a predicted model, not a curated record